GGCGAGAUGGCCGAGCGGUCUAAGGCGCCAGACUAAGGACCAGCACUAUCUGAAGUGCACGAGUUAUCUGGUCCUCCGGGGCGUGGGUUCGAAUCCCACUCUCGUCA
This 107-nucleotide transfer RNA is filed under the name Marasmius sp. AFHP31. Its description in RNAcentral is "tRNA-Leu". It matches the Rfam family "tRNA". Rfam says of the family: Transfer RNA (tRNA) molecules are approximately 80 nucleotides in length. Lineage: Eukaryota; Fungi; Basidiomycota; Agaricomycetes; Agaricales; Marasmiaceae. The record is from RNAcentral.